UUGACCUCAAAUCAGGUAGGACUACCCGCUGAACUUAAGCAUAUCAAUAAGCGGAGGAAAAGAAACUAACAAGGAUUCCCCUAGUAACUGCGAGUGAAGCGGGAAAAGCUCAAAUUUAAAAUCUGGCUAGCUUCGCUGCCCGAGUUGUAAUCUAGAGAAGCAUUAUCAGCGCUCGCGGCGUGUAUAAGUGUCCUGGAAUGGACCAUCAUAGAGGGUGACAAUCCCGUCUUUGACACGGCUGCCUUUAGUGCUAUUGAUGUGCUCUCAACGAGUCGAGUUGUUUGGGAAUGCAGCUCUAAAUGGGUGGUAAGUUCCAUCUAAAGCUAAAUAUUGGCGAGAGACCGAUAGCGAACAAGUACCGUGAGGGAAAGAUGAAAAGAACUUUGGAAAGAGAGUUAAACAGUACGUGAAAUUGCUGAAAGGGAAACGCUUGAAGUCGGUCGCGUUGGUUGGGUAAUCGAGAAAUCAACCUUGCUUUCUAAAAGCUUGGCUUAUUUCCCAGCUGACGGGCCAGCAUCAGUUUUGACCGGUGGAUAAAGGCCAAGGGAAUGUGGCACCUCUUGGGUGUGUUAUAGCCCUCGGUCAUAUACAUCGGUUGGGACUGAGGAACUCAGCACUUGUUGCUUAGGAUGCUGGCAUAAAGGCUUUAAGCGACCCGUCUUGAAACACGGACCAAGGAGUCUAACAUGCCCGCGAGUGUUUGGGUGGAAAACCCGAGCGCGCAAUGAAAGUGAAAGUUGAGAUCCCUGUCAUGGGGAGCAUCAAUGCCUGGACCAGAGCUUUUGUGAUGGAUCCACGGUAGAGCGUGUAUGUUGGGACCCGAAAGAUGGUGAACUAUGCCUGAAUAGGGUGAAGCCAGAGGAAACUCUGGUGGAGGCUUGUAGCGAUUCUGACGUGCAAAUCGAUCGUCAAAUUUGGGUAUAGGGGCGAAAGACUAAUCGAACCAUCUAGUAGCUGGUUCCUGCCGAAGUUUCCCUCAGGAUAGCAGAAACUCAUUAUCAGAUUUAUGUGGUAAAGCGAAUGAUUAGAGGCCUUGGGGUUGUAACAACCUUAACCUAUUCUCAAACUUUAAAUAUGUAAGAACGAGCAGUCUCUUGGUUGGACCGCUUGGCGAUUGAGAGUUUCUAGUGGGCCAUUUUUGGUAAGCAGAACUGGCGAUGCGGGAUGAACCGAACGCGAGGUUAAGGUGCCGGAAUUCACGCUCAUCAGACACCACAAAAGGUGUUAGUUCAUCUAGACAGCAGGACGGUGGCCAUGGAAGUCGGAAUCCGCUAAGGAGUGUGUAACAACCUCACCUGCCCGAAUGAACUAGCCCUGAAAAUGGAUGGCGCUUAAAGCGUGAUACCCAUACCUUGCCCGUCAGUGGUUUUAGUGACCGCUCUGACCAAGUAGGCCAGGCC
Molecule: ribosomal RNA, 1400 nt
Filed under: Termitomyces sp. Group6
Lineage: Eukaryota; Fungi; Basidiomycota; Agaricomycetes; Agaricales; Lyophyllaceae
Description: eukaryotic LSU rRNA
Rfam family: Eukaryotic large subunit ribosomal RNA
Source: RNAcentral